UCCCUGGUGGUCCAGUGGUUAGGACUCAGCACUUUCACUGCCAGGGCCCAGGUUCAAUCCCUGGUUGGGGAA
Molecule: transfer RNA, 72 nt
Organism: Ovis aries (sheep)
Lineage: Eukaryota; Metazoa; Chordata; Mammalia; Artiodactyla; Bovidae
Rfam family: tRNA
About the family: Transfer RNA (tRNA) molecules are approximately 80 nucleotides in length. Their secondary structure includes four short double-helical elements and three loops (D, anti-codon, and T loops). Further hydrogen bonds mediate the characteristic L-shaped molecular structure. tRNAs have two regions of fundamental functional importance: the anti-codon, which is responsible for specific mRNA codon recognition, and the 3' end, to which the tRNAs corresponding amino acid is attached (by aminoacyl-tRNA synthetases). tRNAs cope with the degeneracy of the genetic code in two manners: having more than one tRNA (with a specific anti-codon) for a particular amino acid; and 'wobble' base-pairing, i.e. permitting non-standard base-pairing at the 3rd anti-codon position.
Source: Rfam